Molecule: ribosomal RNA, 490 nt
Filed under: uncultured bacterium
Lineage: Bacteria
Description: partial 16S ribosomal RNA
Rfam family: Bacterial small subunit ribosomal RNA
Source: RNAcentral
AGUGAACGCUGGCGGUAGGCCUAACACAUGCAAGUCGAACGGCAGCACAGGAGAGCUUGCUCUCUAGGUGGCGAGUGGCGGACGGGUGAGGAAUACAUCGGAAUCUGCCCAGUCGUGGGGGAUAACGUAGGGAAACUUACGCUAAUACCGCAUACGACCUUCGGGUGAAAGAGGGGGAUCGCAAGACCUCUCGCGAUUGGAUGAGCCGAUGUCGGAUUAGCUAGUUAGCGGGGUAAUGGCCCACCAAGGCGACGAUCCGUAGCUGGUCUGAGAGGAUGAGCAGCCACAUUGGAACUGAGACACGGUCCAGACUCCUACGGGAGGCAGCAGUGGGGAAUAUUGGACAAUGGGCGCAAGCCUGAUCCAGCCACACCGCGUGGGUGAAGAAGGCCUUCGGGUUGUAAAGCCCUUUUGUUGGGAAAGAAAUCUUUCAGGCUAAUACCCUGGGAGGAUGACGGUACCCAAAGAAUAAGCACCGGCUAACUUCGUG